RNAcentral lists this transfer RNA (72 nucleotides) under Ovis aries (sheep). It matches the Rfam family "tRNA". Rfam says of the family: Transfer RNA (tRNA) molecules are approximately 80 nucleotides in length. Their secondary structure includes four short double-helical elements and three loops (D, anti-codon, and T loops). Lineage: Eukaryota; Metazoa; Chordata; Mammalia; Artiodactyla; Bovidae. The record is from Rfam by way of RNAcentral.
UCCCAUGUGGCUCAGCUGGUAAAGAACCCACCUACAAUGUGGGAGACCUGGGUUCAAUCCCUGGGUUGGGAA